RNAcentral lists this transfer RNA (74 nucleotides) under Candidatus Buchananbacteria bacterium RIFCSPHIGHO2_02_FULL_56_16. RNAcentral's name for it is "tRNA-Asp". It matches the Rfam family "tRNA". From Rfam's summary of the family: Transfer RNA (tRNA) molecules are approximately 80 nucleotides in length. Their secondary structure includes four short double-helical elements and three loops (D, anti-codon, and T loops). RNAcentral also lists the same sequence under 1 other name. The record is from RNAcentral. Lineage: Bacteria; Candidatus Buchananiibacteriota.
GGGGGCGUAGCUCAGUUGGUUAGAGCGUCUGCCUGUCACGCAGAAGGUCGUGGGUUCGAGCCCCAUCGUCCCCG